Molecule: long non-coding RNA, 2700 nt
Filed under: Triticum aestivum (bread wheat)
Lineage: Eukaryota; Viridiplantae; Streptophyta; Magnoliopsida; Poales; Poaceae
Description: long non-coding RNA (TAES_LNC010560)
Source: RNAcentral
GCGGUAAUGCUUCGAAACGGCAGAUGGGCAGAGAGGGGGCCAUAGGAGGAGGCGCUCGAGCGGAGGGGGAGACGAGGCGAUUUCCGUCAGGUUCAUGGUGUUUGCGAGAUCCCUCUAUCCUCGAGCUUGGGUUUUCUCUUUGAUUCACUGCUCCCCAGGUUAGUUGUCGUUGUCGCUCUCCCUUUCCCCGCGCAAUUUGGUAUGGUUCUGAUCAUGUAGCUUCCAGAUCUAGGUUUGUUGGUGCGUUGUUGUUGUAGGUCCUGUUGCUGUUUGAUGAUUUUAGCGGUUGGUUAGUGCGAUUUGUUGUUAGCCAAUGCUCAUUUGUGCAGUUCGCCGCAGAUCCCCUCUUCUCCGUGGAUCCCCUCUGCUCGCGCCAGUUCGUCAUGGAGAACGUCUGCUCCGGUGUUAGGUUUUAGAUUUGAUCUCCUUGUUGUGGGCACUGUUAGGUUGGGCGUUGAUGUGUUUGUCUUCCGACGGGGUUAGGUUUUGUGUUUUUUUCAUGUGUGCAGGCGUGUCUCUGUGUGUGAUUCAGAGCUUUUGCAGUUGAAGUUCAAUCAUCUGGUGGUUGUUUAGUGUUUGAAUGCUACUGAUCUGUUUUGAUUGCUACUGAGACUUUGCAGUUUGAAGUCCAGUCAUCUGGUAGUUGUUUAGUGAUUGAUUACCAGUAGAAACGGGGGAAGAGCUAUGAAUUUCUCUGGUAUGGUAGUAUAGGGAUUCCCCUUUCUUGUUGAUUGCUUGGUCCAGUUUGGGCUAGCUAUGAAUUACACUGUAAUACCCCCCAGAUUUAUACUGCUAUUCUUCUCUGAUUUACACUGUAUUUGUAGCACUGAUUUUACAUUUGUAAUCCCCGUAGUUUUACUUUUGUAAGAUUUUCUCUGUAAUGUGUCUCUGAACCCCAGUUUCUAUGAUGUGAAGUUUUUCUGAAUUUCUGUAUAUUGUAUCUCUAAAGUACAUUGUAAGACGCUGUAAUUGCACUGUAACUUCUUGUGGUUUUUGCAAUACAAUCCUCUAGAUUACCCCCACUGUAAUUCUCGUGCUUUUGGACUGUAACUCCCUAGAGUUACACUGUAGUGCCCAUUUAGCCCUAUUUUACACUGUACUUUUUUCAGACUUUUCACUGUAAUUCUUGCCUUGCUUACUAUGCAAAUUGCAUCAGCAUUACAGUGUAGUUCCCACCCUUGAUUACUAUAUAAUUUGCAUUAGUAUUAUAGUGUAAUUUCCCCAGUUUUUUUACUGUAAUUUGGAUCAUUUAUUACACUUUAUUUCCUGCCUUGAUUACACUGUAAUUCGUGCCUUGAUUUUCAGUGGAAUGCCCCUCCGGGUUACUCUAUAAUUCUGAGUAUUUACACUGUAUUUUGUUCAGACUUUUCACUGUAAUUCUUGUCUUGUUUACUAUGUAAUUGCAUCAACAUUACAGUGUAAUUUCCAUAGUUUUUUUACUGUAAUUUGCAUCAGUUAUUGCACUGUAAUUCUUGCCUUGAUUACACUGUAAUUCCUGCCUUGAUUACACUGUAAUUCAUGCCUUGAUUUACAGUGGAAAGCCCCUCUGGGUUACUAUAUAAUUCUGAGUAUUUUUACAGUGUUAGUUUGCUUAGUUUUUUGUGUUUUACCGCCUCACUAUACACUGUAAGUUGGACCAGUAUUACUGUGUAAGCGGGAUCAGUAUUACAGUGUAAUUACUGUCUUGUUUACACUGUAUUUUUUAUCAGUAUUACAGUGUUGUGUAAUUUUGUUUCCUGCCUUGAUUUUACGGUGUAGUUUGCAUAAGUUUUACCAUGUAAUUUCCCUAGUUUUAUUUUUUGUGUAAUUCCUGCCUUGAUUUUAUUAUUUUGGAUCAGUAUUAAUAGUUACUUCUCUGUAGUUUUCAGCUUCAUUAUCUAUGGGGAGGCUACGGAAAGUCUCUCACAAGGAUGUUCCGGAAGCAUCUUCUAUUGAGAGUGUGGAUCCUUUGCAAGACCCCUUCGUGCCUAAUGACUUUGCGGAAGAUGGUUCUAAUUGCUGUAGGGCUUACACUGUAAUAUGAUUGAGCACUGUAAUUGUUUUAGGGCUUAUACUGUAAUUUAUCAGAGUCUUACUCUGUAAUUGUUGUAGGGCUUAUAGUAUUUGUUAGAUACAUUACAAUGGAUUUUACCUCUGAAUUGUGGGGCUUACACUGUAAUAUACUGCAGAUUUACACUGUAAUUUGAAUACUUCAGCACUGUAAUUGUUUUAGGGCUUACAGAGUAUUUUUCAGAUAGAUCACAGUGGAUUUUUACGUCUAAUUUUAUGGUGCAUUUAUGAGCGUUGAUACCUGGGAAUAACAGUGUAAUUCCGGGGGAUUUACAGUGCAAUUAGUGGGCACUUUGACUGUAAUUCGUGGGUGUUUACAGUGUAACUUCAUCAGUUAUUCAAAUGUAAAUCCUUGGGAACUUGCAGUGUCAUUUCGUUUGUAUUUACGGUGUAAAUCCACUGUAUGCUUUUUCAGAGUUUGCACUUUAAUUUUCAGCUAUCAGGAUUUGUAGUGUAAUUUCUAUUGUUUUGCUAUUGUAAUUUUUGGCAUUAGACUGCAAUUUUUUUGUUAUUCCAGAGUUUUAUAAUUGCUAGCAAUCAAACAUUCCACAGUUUCCUGUUGUCUUUGGAAUUUCUUUGUAACUAGUUUCUCUGAUGUUUCUAGGUGAAGCGGGGUGAAGGGGAUGAAGAAUUUGUGAAGCUAGUGAAGGG